This 658-nucleotide ribosomal RNA is filed under the name fungal endophyte. Its description in RNAcentral is "eukaryotic LSU rRNA". The stretch from base 248 to 401 matches the Rfam family "5.8S ribosomal RNA". Lineage: Eukaryota; Fungi. The record is from RNAcentral.
GCGGAGGAUCAUUACUGAAAUGUAAUAACUUCUAUUGAAAGGUUCCAGAGUAGGCGCUACAACGCCGAAAUGACCUUCUCACCCUUGUGUACUCACUACGUUGCUUUGGCGGGUCGACCUGGUUCCGACCCAGGCGGCCGGCGCCCCCAGCCUUAACUGGCCAGGACGCCCGGCUAAGUGCCCGCCAGUAUACAAAACUCAAGAAUUCAUUUUGUGAAGUCUCCUGAUAUAUCAUUUAAUUGAUUAAAACUUUCAACAACGGAUCUCUUGGUUCUGGCAUCGAUGAAGAACGCAGCGAAAUGCGAUAAGUAAUGUGAAUUGCAGAAUUCAGUGAAUCAUCGAAUCUUUGAACGCACAUUGCGCCCUCUGGUAUUCCGGAGGGCAUGCCUGUUCGAGCGUCAUUUCAACCCUCAAGCUCUGCUUGGUAUUGGGCAACGUCCGCUGCCGGACGUGCCUUGAAGACCUCGGCGACGGCGUCCUAGCCUCGAGCGUAGUAGUAAAAUAUCUCGCUUUGGAGUGCUGGGCGACGGCCGCCGGACAAUCGACCUUCGGUCUAUUUUUCCAAGGUUGACCUCGGAUCAGGUAGGGAUACCCGCUGAACUUAAGCAUAUCAAUAAGCGGAGGAAAAGAAACCAACAGGGAUUGCCUUAGUAACGGC